RNAcentral lists this long non-coding RNA (431 nucleotides) under Ananas comosus (pineapple). RNAcentral's name for it is "long non-coding RNA (ACOM_LNC027575)". The record is from RNAcentral. Lineage: Eukaryota; Viridiplantae; Streptophyta; Magnoliopsida; Poales; Bromeliaceae.
GAAGGAUUCUACACUAUCACACUUGCACUAUAUUAUUAAUAAUAAAUCAAUUACAUUCCUUCUUUUCAAAAAAAAUAUAAUAAAAAUAUUUUUUUAUAAUCAUGAUGGAAUAUAUAUUUUUAAAAGGAGAUUUUUGAUUGAUUUGUUACGCCACUUCAUCAAUAUAUUCGUUGCAUUCUAAAAUUUUUCGUGUGUAAAAGAACUUCGUGCAGUAUAAAUUUUUUUUUUUUUAGAGAAAUAAAUAGCAUGCUAUCUGUUUCAUUUAUUUUAUUUAAAAAUAAUUUUAACUAGAAAUAAUAUGAUUCAAAUUUAGAAUCUCGAAUAUCAACUAUUAAAUUUUUUGUUACUUGCACUAGAGACUAUUGGUCGGUCUAAGUUGUAUUGUGUUGUGAUGUAUUGUGUUAUUGGGGGUAACGUGAAAGGGCAGGAGG